CCAAACGUCUCAGACGUCAUCAGCGCAGACCGUGCGGGAAGGGAAGGUGCGGCCGCAGUGGGUUCACAUUCUGGAGUAAGAGAGGUAAAGAAGUCAUGAGAAGAUGGAGCAAUAUUCGAGACUCCUUUGCAAAGUCUUUCAAAAAAAUAGAAGAAAGCAAGAGAUCUGGAGCUGGGGCAGUGAAGCAUAGGAAAUAUGUGUUUCAUGACCAGAUGCAAUUCUUAAAAAAAUUGUAUGUGUGUCGGGAUACUGAAGAAAAUUUCACUCUGGAGGAUGUCAUACCAGAUAACCCAGUUGAAGAUGCUGUGAGGGAAAACUCAGUUCCUGAAAAUGAGCCCAAAAAUACAACAGAGACUCUACCAACACCAGCAGCCAGUGCCACACAUGGUGGUUUUCGACCACAAACACGCCGCCGUAAGCCAGAUGAAGUAGAAUUAAAACUGCUAAAGGCUCUGGAACCUGAAAAGCCAAAUCGUCAUAUAUCUUUCUUUCAGGGGAUCAUGCCUGCUUUAGAGAAAUUAGACGAAGAUGAAAUAUUACAGUUCCAAAUGGGGGUUCUUCAACUGAUUUCUAAUAUAAAUCAGCAGAAGCGGAGAUCCUUGCAGCCUUCGCCCCUGCCUUAUCAGUCUAUGCCAAUGCACCAAACACUAUUGCAAGCAAUGCCUCCACAACAACCUUAUGGCCAAAAUCCUAUGCAACAAGCCCAACCUCCGCUAACAUCUCAAUUGUACCCACAUUUUGGAAACAUGCCUCCAAUAAAUAGCCCUCAAAGUUGUCCCUCUCAAACUCCAUCCCCUGCACCGUCUUCUGGUUCAUACAGUUCCGUGGACUUUUCAUCACUGCACCCAUUAUAAAUACCAAUCUAGCCCUGAUUCUACCAAAUUUGUUACAAAUCACACACAUGGUGCAUAACACAUGCAAUUUAAUUUCCACCGUUGGCUGUUUGUUACAUUUGUUACCUAAUGUUUUGGAUAUAAGUUAAUUGCAAAUAUUGCUCAUACUUUAAAUAUGUCCAUUUUCAGUGUGAAAUAAAAACAUUGUACUUUCAAA
Molecule: long non-coding RNA, 1050 nt
Organism: Pseudophryne corroboree (corroboree frog)
Lineage: Eukaryota; Metazoa; Chordata; Amphibia; Anura; Myobatrachidae
Exons: 2
Source: RefSeq, a predicted model, not a curated record